RNAcentral lists this ribosomal RNA (440 nucleotides) under uncultured bacterium. Its description in RNAcentral is "partial 16S ribosomal RNA". It matches the Rfam family "Bacterial small subunit ribosomal RNA", at positions 338 to 795 of the family's 1533-position model. The record is from RNAcentral.
CCUACGGGCGGCAGCAGUGGGGAAUAUUGCUCAAUGGGCGUAACCCUGAAGCAGCCACGUCGCGUGGAGGAUGAAGGUUUUAUGAUUCGAAACUCCUUUUUUGAAGGGAGUUAAUGACGGUAUGUCACGCAUAUGCACCGUCUAACUCCGUUCCAGCAGCCGCGGUAAUACGGAGGGUGCCAGCGUUACUCGGAGUCACUGGGCGUAAAGAGUGCGCAGGCGGGCUUGUAAGUCAGAUGUGAAAUCCUUUAGCGUAACUACAGAAUUGCCGUUGAAACUAUGAGUCUAGAGUGUGGGCGAGGUAGGGGGAAUGCUUGGUGUAGGGGUAAAAUCCGUAGAUAUCACGAGGAAUACUCAUUGCGAAGGUGACCUACUGGGACAUUACUGACGCUGAUGCACGAAAGCGUGGGGAGCAAACAGGAUUAGAUACCCGAGUAGUC